This 582-nucleotide ribosomal RNA is filed under the name Paracentrotus lividus (common urchin). RNAcentral's name for it is "partial 16S ribosomal RNA". It matches the Rfam family "Bacterial large subunit ribosomal RNA", at positions 1817 to 2600 of the family's 2925-position model. The record is from RNAcentral. Lineage: Eukaryota; Metazoa; Echinodermata; Echinoidea; Camarodonta; Echinidae.
CGCUCCCCGAUAAAUAACAACAUGAGGAGUCCUGCCUGCCCAGUGACUAAAGGUUAAACGGCCGCGGUAUCUUGACCGUGCGAAGGUAGCAUAAUCAUUUGUCUUCUAAAUAAAGACUAGUAUGAAUGGCAAGACGGAACUGAACUGUCUCUUUUCCAAAUAAUCCGAAUUUCACUUCUCCGUGAAGAGGCGGAGGGUAAAAUCGUUAGACGAGAAGACCCUGUCGAGCUUUUAGCAAAAACUUAACUAGUAAAGCACUUAAACUACUCUAGUAAAUGAAUGUAAGUAUAAUUAAGCUACUAAGAUUAAGUGAAGCUUUGGUUGGGGCAACCGCGGAGUAAAAGAAGCCUCCGCUAAAAAAAAAUAUUAACCACUAAACUAAGGACUACCAUCCUAUAAUCAUGAAUGAUUAAAUUGAUCCAUUUAGAUGACCAAAGGAACAAGUUACCGCAGGGAUAACAGCGUUAUCUUUUCUGAGAGUUCACAUUGACGAAAAGGUUUGCGACCUCGAUGUUGGAUCGGGACAUCCUAAAGGUGCAGAAGCUUUUAAGGGUUGGUCUGUUCGACCAUUAAAGUCCUACG